Molecule: transfer RNA, 71 nt
Filed under: Marmota monax (woodchuck)
Lineage: Eukaryota; Metazoa; Chordata; Mammalia; Rodentia; Sciuridae
Description: tRNA.Ser
Source: RNAcentral
GGUUGUGGCUCAGCGGUAGAGUGCUUGCCUUGAAUGUGCAAGGACCUGGGUUUGAUCCUCAGCACUAACUA